RNAcentral lists this RNase P RNA (402 nucleotides) under Streptomyces cacaoi. RNAcentral's name for it is "Bacterial RNase P class A". It matches the Rfam family "Bacterial RNase P class A". Rfam says of the family: Ribonuclease P (RNase P) is a ubiquitous endoribonuclease, found in archaea, bacteria and eukarya as well as chloroplasts and mitochondria. Its best characterised activity is the generation of mature 5'-ends of tRNAs by cleaving the 5'-leader elements of precursor-tRNAs. Lineage: Bacteria; Bacillati; Actinomycetota; Actinomycetes; Kitasatosporales; Streptomycetaceae. The record is from Rfam by way of RNAcentral.
CGAGCCGGCCGGGCGGCCGCGGCGGGGUGCACGCACCUCCGUCGAGGAAGGUCCGGGCUCCACAGGGCAGGAUGGUGGGUAACACCCACCCGGGGUGACCCGCGGGAAAGUGCCACAGAAAGCAGACCGCCGGGAGACGUCCCAGGACGCUUCCCGGUAAGGGUGAAACGGUGGUGUAAGAGACCACCAGCGCCCAGGGUGACCUGGGCGGCUCGGUAAACCCCAUCCGGAGCAAGGUCAAGAGGAGCCACACCGUGGCUCUGCGCGGAUGUCCGAGGGCGGCCCGCCCGAGUCCGCGGGUAGACCGCACGAGGCCGGUGGCAACACCGGUCCCAGAUGGAUGGCCGCCUCCCCCGGCACAGCCCGGGGAGACAGAACCCGGCCUACAGGCCGACUCGUCCG